UGGUCCAGUGGUAUAUGCACUGGUCUGCAGAUUGGCAAGCGUGGGUUCAAACUCCACU
This 58-nucleotide transfer RNA is filed under the name Eutreptiella gymnastica. Lineage: Eukaryota; Euglenozoa; Euglenophyceae; Eutreptiales; Eutreptiaceae. The record is from RNAcentral.